GAGUUGGAGAUGCAGCAGAUGUCAGGUCGGGGGAAUGGCGUCCCUCGAAAGUCCAGUCAGCUGCACGUUCACUUCAAGAUGCACAACUAUGGAAGCUGACAGAUAAAUUCUAAGCUGACUCUACAAGACACUCACAACAGGGAUUUUGAAGAGAAUGAAUUUCAAAAUGAUGCUUCGCCGCUCGCAGGAUACUAGAAGCUGCGCAGUUGCUAUAAUCACGCGUCUCGAUGUAAACAAGAGAGUGAAUGUUGACAACUGAAGUGCUGAGUAAGCUAGAGAGUGUCAUGCUACCGUAAGCCGGAGAUGGAACCCCAGGACAAUAUUGAGGAGGAUGACACCGCUGCAUCAGCACCAUCAUCAUCAUCAUCAUCACCGCCACCGCGAUCUCUGCCCCGUCAGCGCGUGUCUCUGCAGAAAAGCAGCGUGUGUUCUCGCUCAUACUUCAUGGUGGUGAUGGUUUUUUUCCACGUUUAUAUAAUCAAUGUCAUUGCGCUUCUGCUCUAUGUUCAUUAUAAUAACGUCUCUAACGCGAUAACGGCAAACCGGGAUUUUACAAGCAGAGACAGCAGUCAUAAAGUUACUGGACCGUCAGAUCCCCAGACCCUUGCAGACUCGGGCUUCCCUCGAAACAUGUAUCUCCCUCGCAUUGAAGGAAUACGGGUGGGCCAUGUCCAAAAAGUGUCACUGGUGCCAGGGAAAGUCCAUGAAAUGAAGACACUCAGUCUAAAGCCCCUUCUGUUUG
Sinocyclocheilus rhinocerous is the source of this 742-nucleotide long non-coding RNA. RefSeq lists it as uncharacterized. NCBI's taxonomy places the organism in Eukaryota, Metazoa, Chordata, Actinopteri, Cypriniformes, Cyprinidae. The transcript has 3 exons. The record is from RefSeq and is a predicted model, not a curated record.